AGAGAAUGUAGCACUGUCCAAACCAGUGAUACUGGCAGACUGAUUUUUUUUCUAUUUUUCUUUACUAACAUUUGGAGAAAGCACUACUCGCUAUAGAAAGAGUAAGCCCUGGAGUUCUACUUGAAUCAAUCUGUAAGAUACGUGCCUCGGAGUGGCUGCCACCAUUCUGGUGAAAGUCCCUGGACGCAAAGAAAAACCUGGACAUUCCUCAAGAAUCACAACAGAGGAGAAUUGUAUCCCUCUCCUGAAUAUAGAGAAAAGGAAGGCCCUGGAGCCAACAGGAUCCACAGAGUACCAAGGCAUCAGAAGAUGGUUAAGGCAGAUGGCAGUACUCACACAAAGCAUCUGUGCUAAGGUUGGACGGGCAGCAGUGGCAGAGCAGUGACCACAAACUGGAUAUUCAGGCUCCACGGCCGUGUUUGUGUUGUCCUCCAUCCUCUACGUAGACUAUAUGAGAUCUGAGUCAACCAGUAAAAGAUGAAAGCAGGCAGGACUCACCUUCUGGACUCAAGUGACACCCUCGGGGCCCAUAAACACCUCAGAGAACUACCAGAAAGGCCUGCACCGCCCACCUGAUGAAAUGGAGGUUCGGAGUCUUAGAGUUUUCACGCUCUGGUGUUCUGCUUUGCGGUGACACUCUUUCUACUUUAAGCUGAGGAACCUAUACAUUCCAGUAAUACCGUUUUUAAAAUAUCAAAUGUUUUCAUGUAAACUGUCUAGUAAAGUUGAUGUUCCAGGAAAAUACAGCGUGUGCCUGCAAGAAACUAGUCACUUUCUAUGAGCCUUCAGGGCUGAGUUGGAGAUGCAGGCUCCCGGUACAAAGUUAAGAGCCUGAAUUUUAACUCCUUCUGUUCUGUGUUCUGUAGCAGUUUCAGGUAGUGUCAUCGAUCCCCAUCCAUAAAGUUGUUAAACCUAAGCAACCAAAACAAUUCCAUUUUGUCUAGCUCCCUCCUUUCUGUUAACUAAAGCUUCUUGUCUGUGAGAGACUGCCUGCUGGUUGGCCUCCUACAGACACAUCUAGUGUUUUCUGAUGAAAGGAGGUGUUGGGAGACUGCCACUGGUUGACCCCCUGCAAAAACAUCUGGGGUCUGUCUGCUGAUGAGAAAGAGAUACUCCUGGAGAAAUCACUAAAUCUACCCAGUUGUCACUCCCACCCUGUAACUAGCCCUCUGCUUUUGUAAUCUGAGCUUCGCUUCCUUGCUGUACUCCCGUUCACAGCCCUAUAAAGAUCCCUGAGUUUAGAUACCUGGACCCUUCUCUCCGAGCAGAGUCAGGUCCAGCCCGGUUUAAAUAAAAUUUUGUCCUUCUAGACUUGCAUUUUCUCCUGUGGUCAAUACAACAGAGUAAACUUUUUUAUUUACUUCCAUUCUGCUGCCUCUCUGUAUGUCACUUGCCAAUUCCUUCAAUGACACUGUAAUCCCAGCACUCUGAAAAGCUGAGGCAGAAGGAGCACAAGUUCAAGUCCUGCUUACACAUUUAGUGAAACCCUGUCUCAAAAUGAAAAACAAAUAUCAAAAGGGGUUUGAUACAACGCUAAUGCAGUGACCCUACAUUAGUACCACA
RNAcentral lists this long non-coding RNA (1563 nucleotides) under Fukomys damarensis (Damara mole-rat). Its description in RNAcentral is "lncRNA (ENSFDAG00000027406.1)". The record is from RNAcentral. Lineage: Eukaryota; Metazoa; Chordata; Mammalia; Rodentia; Bathyergidae.